This 72-nucleotide transfer RNA is filed under the name Sphaerodactylus townsendi. Its description in RNAcentral is "tRNA-Ala". It matches the Rfam family "tRNA". From Rfam's summary of the family: Transfer RNA (tRNA) molecules are approximately 80 nucleotides in length. Their secondary structure includes four short double-helical elements and three loops (D, anti-codon, and T loops). The record is from RNAcentral. Lineage: Eukaryota; Metazoa; Chordata; Lepidosauria; Squamata; Sphaerodactylidae.
GGGGCUGUGACUCAGAGGUAAAGUAUCUGUCUGGCAUAUGGAAGGUUCCAGGUUCAAUCCUCAGUAUCUCCA